AAUUUUCGGCAAUGGGGGCAACCCUGACCGAGCGACGCCGCGUGAGUGAAGAAGGUCUUCGGUUUGUAAAGCUUUUUUGUAAGGGAAGAACCGCACCAGUAGGGAAUGACUGGUACCUGACGGUACCUUCCCAGCAAGCCACGGCUAACUACGUGCCAGCAGCAGCGGUAAUACGUAGGUGGCAAGCUUUAUCCGGAAUUAUUGGGCGUAAAGGGAGCGCAGGCGGCUUAUUCAGUCUGAGGUUAAAGUUCGGGGCUCAACCCCGUGAUGCCUUAGAAGCUGCUAGGCUAGAGUGCAGGAGAGGUGAGUGGAAUUCCAUGUGUAGCGGUAAAAUGCGUAGAUAUAUGGAGGAACACCAGUGGCGAAGGCGGCUCACUGGCCUGUAACUGACGCUGAGGCUCGAAAGCGUGGGGAGCAAAUA
This 421-nucleotide ribosomal RNA is filed under the name uncultured bacterium. Its description in RNAcentral is "partial 16S ribosomal RNA". It matches the Rfam family "Bacterial small subunit ribosomal RNA", at positions 360 to 774 of the family's 1533-position model. The record is from RNAcentral.